This 356-nucleotide ribosomal RNA is filed under the name Cornudiscoides agarwali. RNAcentral describes it as "eukaryotic LSU rRNA". It matches the Rfam family "Eukaryotic large subunit ribosomal RNA", at positions 47 to 383 of the family's 3401-position model. Lineage: Eukaryota; Metazoa; Platyhelminthes; Monogenea; Dactylogyridea; Ancylodiscoididae. The record is from RNAcentral.
UUAGUGCAGAUUAACAGUGCUUCUCCUAGUACGGCGAGUGAACGGAGAUUAGCCCAGCGCCGAAGCCUAUCUGCAUUUGUGGACAGGGCAAUGUGGCGUUUAGAAUUGUACCUGGGGAUGCUUGUCUACUCGAAGUCCAACUCCGAAUAUGGCUUGGAUUUGUACCAGAGAGGGUGAAAGUCCCGUACGGGUAGACCUACUUGUUUUAAGCAUUCCUUAGAUGUUCAGUUCUUGGAGUCGGAUUGCUUGAGAAUGCAGUCCAAAGUGGGUGGUAAACUCCAUCCAAGGCUAAAUACCUGCAUGAGUCCGAUAGUAGACAAGUACCGCGAGGGAAAGUUGAAAAGUACUCUGAAGAG